CCCUUAGAUGCUCUGGGCCGCACGCGCGCUACACUGGUCGAUGCAACGAGUUUCUUUCCUUGGCCGACAGGCUUGGGCAAUCUUUGAACAUCGAUCGUGAUCGGGAUAGAUUCUUGUAAUUUUUGAUCUUAAACGAGGAAUUCCUAGUAAACGCAAGUCAUCAGCUUGCAUUGAUUACGUCCCUGCCCUUUGUACACACCGCCCGUCGCACCUACCGAUUGAAUGGUCCGGUGAAAUCUCCGGACUGGCGUGAGUCGGAGCAAUCUGACAAACACCGGAAAGUUGAUUAAACCUUACCAUUUAGAGGAAGGUGAAGUCGUAACA
This 324-nucleotide ribosomal RNA is filed under the name uncultured eukaryote. Its description in RNAcentral is "partial 18S ribosomal RNA". It matches the Rfam family "Eukaryotic small subunit ribosomal RNA", at positions 1470 to 1796 of the family's 1831-position model. The record is from RNAcentral.